ACACGUAGGGGCCUGACGUUGUUCGGAAUCAUUGGGCGUAAAGGGCGCGCAGGCGGCCGUCCAAGUCCGGUGUUAAAUGGUCGGGCUCAACCCGAUCAUGCGCUGGAAACUGGGCGGCUGGAGUCCCGGAGGGGAUGCCGGAAUUCCAGGUGUAGGGGUGAAAUCUGUAGAUAUCUGGAAGAACACCGAUGGCGAAGGCAGGCAUCUGGCCGGAGACUGACGCUGAGGCGCGAAGGCGCGGGGAGCGAACAGGUUUAGAUACCCUGGUAGUCCACGCCGUAAACGAUGAGUGCUAAGUGUUGGAGGGUUUCCGCCCUUCAGUGCUGCAGCUAACGCAUUAAGCACUCCGCCUGGGGAGUACGGCCGCAAGGCUGAAACUCAAAUGAAUUGGCGGGGG
This 397-nucleotide ribosomal RNA is filed under the name uncultured bacterium. RNAcentral's name for it is "partial 16S ribosomal RNA". It matches the Rfam family "Bacterial small subunit ribosomal RNA", at positions 523 to 919 of the family's 1533-position model. The record is from RNAcentral.